This 253-nucleotide ribosomal RNA is filed under the name uncultured bacterium. Its description in RNAcentral is "partial 16S ribosomal RNA". It matches the Rfam family "Bacterial small subunit ribosomal RNA", at positions 524 to 776 of the family's 1533-position model. The record is from RNAcentral.
UACGUAGGGGGCAAGCGUUGUCCGGAAUCAUUGGGCGUAAAGAGCGUGUAGGCGGCCCGAUAAGUCCGCCGUGAAAGUCCAGGGCUCAACCCUGGGAUGCCGGUGGAAACUGUCGGGCUAGAGCCCGGAAGAGGCGAGUGGAAUUCCUGGUGUAGCGGUGAAAUGCGCAGAGAUCAGGAGGAACACCAAUGGCGAAGGCAGCUCGCUGGGACGGUACUGACGCUGAGACGCGAAAGCGUGGGGAGCAAACAGG